Molecule: long non-coding RNA, 863 nt
Organism: Bos indicus x Bos taurus (hybrid cattle)
Lineage: Eukaryota; Metazoa; Chordata; Mammalia; Artiodactyla; Bovidae
Source: Ensembl
AUACUCUGACACUUGGGCUGCUGAGUGAGUCUAGACAGAAUUACCAAACAGUAUGCCAUAUACCAAUUUCAGGUUUUUAACCUCAACUGAGACCUCAAGACCAUCCUGCAGUUGUCAUGUUCCUGGUCAAUCUCUACUUUAGGAGCUGUACUCAUUCUCAGUCUAGCACUGGAACUGAUCCUGAUGUUUUUCCUACUAAAACUGAAAGGGAUCUGAUGGUUCGUGGCCCAGUUUGGUUUAAUAUUUUCCUUAUUGGUUUUGGUUUUCUAGGUAAAGAAAUGACUACCUUUGACCUUAAACUUAACUUUGAAAAUGCAGAGCAUUUGAGGAUUUGAGAAUGUGGCCAACACAAGCUAAAUGCGCCAGGGCUUCUUAUAGAGCUGAAAGUGAGAAGGACGUGUGCAAUCAUUGCCCUGGCUUCUCCCUUUCCAAGUGACAGCCAUUCUUACCCUUUAUCUACAGGUUUUUAUUUGUUAGAAGAUUAGUCAAGUAUGAGAUGAGACAAACAUGAGACUGGGUAGGAAUGAAGGAGACAGAAAGUGAAGCACCCCGUCGAGCUGACCUCUUGCUUUGUUUCCUGUUAUCUUGUUUGACUCCUGGCCAAAAACUUUUAUCCUGAACUUAGUGAGUAAAUCAUAACAGACAGGAUUAGACAUUUCAAACUAGUGCUAAUCCACCUAGAUGCAGCUUUAGUCAUAGAUUCAUACAUAGCAGCUUAUAAGAGAUUAAUUUUACAUGCCAAGAUCUCUGUACAUGGAAAUAUUAAUGCCAGAGGCUCUAGGAUGGUUUCAACAAAAAACGAUAAGUGUGCAAAAUAUAAUGAAUGUAUUGCUUUGAAUAAACUCAUAUACUUUGAGUUAUCA